CUACGGGUGGCAGCAGUCGAGAAUAAUUCACAAUGGGCGAAAGCCUGAUGGUGCAACGCCGCGUGGAGGAUGAAGGUCUUCGGAUUGUAAACUCCUGUCAUCGGGGAGUAAGACCUGGGCGUGAAUAGCGCACAGGGUUGAUAGUACCCGAAGAGGAAGGGACGGCUAACUUCGUGCCAGCAGCCGCGGUAAUACGAAGGUCCCAAGCGUUGUUCGGAAUCACUGGGCGUAAAGGGAGCGUAGGCUGCGCGGUAAGUCAGGUGUGAAAUCCCGGGGCUCAACCCCGGAACUGCACCCGAUACUGCCGUGCUUGAGGGUUGGAGAGGUAGCUGGAAUUCUCGGUGUAGCAGUGAAAUGCGUGGAUAUCGGGAGGAACACUCGUGGCGAAGGCGAGCUACUGGACAACAUCUGACGCUGAGGCUCGAAGGCCAGGGGAGCAAAAGGGAUUAGAUACCCUUGUAGUC
RNAcentral lists this ribosomal RNA (464 nucleotides) under uncultured bacterium. RNAcentral describes it as "partial 16S ribosomal RNA". It matches the Rfam family "Bacterial small subunit ribosomal RNA", at positions 339 to 795 of the family's 1533-position model. The record is from RNAcentral.